RNAcentral lists this ribosomal RNA (253 nucleotides) under uncultured bacterium. RNAcentral's name for it is "partial 16S ribosomal RNA". It matches the Rfam family "Bacterial small subunit ribosomal RNA", at positions 524 to 776 of the family's 1533-position model. The record is from RNAcentral.
UACGAAGGGGGCUAGCGUUGCUCGGAAUUACUGGGCGUAAAGGGCGCGUAGGCGGAUAGUUCAGUCAGAGGUGAAAGCCCAGGGCUCAACCUUGGAACUGCCUUUGAUACUGGCUAUCUUGAGUUUGGGAGAGGUAUGUGGAACUCCGAGUGUAGAGGUGAAAUUCGUAGAUAUUCGGAAGAACACCAGUGGCGAAGGCGACAUGCUGGCCCAAUACUGACGCUGAGGCUCGAAAGCGUGGGGAGCAAACAGG